Xenia sp. Carnegie-2017 is the source of this 224-nucleotide long non-coding RNA. RefSeq lists it as uncharacterized. The record is from RefSeq and is a predicted model, not a curated record. NCBI's taxonomy places the organism in Eukaryota, Metazoa, Cnidaria, Anthozoa, Malacalcyonacea, Xeniidae. The transcript has 3 exons.
AUCAAGCAUUUAUUGAACAUUCCAAUUUCUUUAUUAUCAAGCAAAAGCAAACACAUCAUGUAGUUGGUUGCGUCGUUUUUAAUCUUUCUGAAUUUUUAAAGAAGCAAACACAUCAUGUAGUUGGUUGCGUCUUCUUUAAUCUUUCUAAAUUUGUUAAGACAUAUUCUGAAUCGUCAACCAAAAACACUCAACAAAAUUAUAAAGAUCUUUGGUCAAUUUAGAUG